This 425-nucleotide ribosomal RNA is filed under the name uncultured bacterium. Its description in RNAcentral is "partial 16S ribosomal RNA". It matches the Rfam family "Bacterial small subunit ribosomal RNA", at positions 354 to 796 of the family's 1533-position model. The record is from RNAcentral.
GUAGGGAAUCUUGCGCAAUGGGCGAAAGCCUGACGCAGCCAUGCCGCGUGAAUGAUGAAGGUCUUAGGAUUGUAAAAUUCUUUCACCGGGGACGAUAAUGACGGUACCCGGAGAAGAAGCUCCGGCUAACUUCGUGCCAGCAGCCGCGGUAAUACGAAGGGGGCUAGCGUUGCUCGGAAUUACUGGGCGUAAAGGGCGCGUAGGCGGAUAUUUAAGUCGGGGGUGAAAGCCCGGGGCUCAACCUCGGAAUAGCCUUCGAUACUGGAUAUCUUGAGUACGGGAGAGGUGUGUGGAACUCCGAGUGUAGAGGUGAAAUUCGUAGAUAUUCGGAAGAACACCAGUGGCGAAGGCGACACACUGGCCCGUUACUGACGCUGAGGCGCGAAAGCGUGGGGAGCAAACAGGAUUAGAAACCCGGGUAGUCC